GCCGGCAUAGCUCAGUGGUAGAGCAACCGCCUUGUAAGCGGUAGGUCGUCUGUUCGAGUCAGACUGUCGGCACCA
Molecule: transfer RNA, 75 nt
Filed under: Betaproteobacteria bacterium SG8_41
Lineage: Bacteria; Pseudomonadati; Pseudomonadota; Betaproteobacteria
Also listed under: 11 other names
Description: tRNA-Thr
Rfam family: tRNA
About the family: Transfer RNA (tRNA) molecules are approximately 80 nucleotides in length. Their secondary structure includes four short double-helical elements and three loops (D, anti-codon, and T loops).
Source: RNAcentral